This 441-nucleotide unclassified non-coding RNA is filed under the name Hevea brasiliensis (rubber tree). The record is from RNAcentral. Lineage: Eukaryota; Viridiplantae; Streptophyta; Magnoliopsida; Malpighiales; Euphorbiaceae.
UUUUUUAAAUCUUCACACCACUUCUACCACCAACUCCGAUUCUACUGCUUCCCAGAAUCCUACCCAAUGGCUCUCCCGCUCCUCCUCUCUACUCAACCGCAAUCACAGCGAUGUUAUCGAUGAUGUCACCGCCGCAACCGCUGCUGACUCCAUCAUUGCGGGCACUAUUUCCCACGAAUCACCCGAUUUGAAAACCAACACCAAUAACAACAGCGAUACCAUGAACAACAAGAGCGAAGGAGGGGUGGUUGAGAGUGGUGGAGGCGGGGAGGGAGUGGUUAACUGGCAGAAUGCGAGGUACAAGGCGGAGAUACUGUCUCACCCGUUGUAUGACCAGUUGUUGUCGGCACACGUGGCGUGUUUGCGAAUCGCCACUCCGGUGGAUCAGUUGCCAAGAAUUGACGCCCAGCUCGCCCAGUCACAGCACGUAGUGGCUAAAUA